RNAcentral lists this unclassified non-coding RNA (549 nucleotides) under Aster chuanshanensis. Its description in RNAcentral is "partial contains external transcribed spacer and 18S small subunit ribosomal RNA". The stretch from base 503 to 549 matches the Rfam family "Eukaryotic small subunit ribosomal RNA", at positions 1 to 47 of the family's 1831-position model. Lineage: Eukaryota; Viridiplantae; Streptophyta; Magnoliopsida; Asterales; Asteraceae. RNAcentral also lists the same sequence under 1 other name. The record is from RNAcentral.
UUCGGUUGUUUGCAUGGCACUUUAGCCAUGCGGGUGGCUGUGACGCAGUGCGACUUCGGGGAUGUCUCGUAAAAGGUGCAUGAGUGGUGUUUGGUUUGAUACGGGUGGUUGGCUCCCUGCUUGAGCAGGCACGGCCACGCGUACAUUCCAUUUCAAUUGUGCGACAAGGCUUGUAUCGUCUUGGUCGUAUAGUCGGGUUUCCUGUGUUGCCUACCUGAUCAACGGCAUUGUUUUGAUCAAAAGCGGUACCCUUUUCGUCAGGCGUUGCAACUGCAAUGUCGGAUGAACCAUGUAGCAUCCACUUUGAUCCCUAUAGUCGAUGAGCAUUCGUUGAUUGUUGGGCCCGUUGUGGGUGACUUGGUCUCUUGGAUUUGGAAGCUAAAGUGGGCAUGGGUUCAUAUGAUCCUUUUAUUGCCCUCAUUGAGCGUUCUUGCUCCUCUUAAACGACUGCCUUUCACGUAUGGCAAGUCCCGACGUGUUUGGCUAUGUCGAAGAGGAAUGUUACCUGGUUGAUCCUGCCAGUAGUCAUAUGCUUGUCUCAAAGAUUAA